UGUGACCUCAAAUCAGGUAGGACUACCCGCUGAACUUAAGCAUAUCAAUAAGCGGAGGAAAAGAAACUAACAAGGAUUCCCCUAGUAACUGCGAGUGAAGCGGGAAAAGCUCAAAUUUAAAAUCUGSC
RNAcentral lists this ribosomal RNA (128 nucleotides) under uncultured Cortinarius. RNAcentral's name for it is "partial 28S ribosomal RNA". It matches the Rfam family "Eukaryotic large subunit ribosomal RNA", at positions 1 to 126 of the family's 3401-position model. Lineage: Eukaryota; Fungi; Basidiomycota; Agaricomycetes; Agaricales; Cortinariaceae. The record is from RNAcentral.